AAUAAGGUGCCUGAUAAAAGGGUUAUCUUGAUAGGAUAAAUAAUGUAUAAUAUACUCUUAUUA
This 63-nucleotide transfer RNA is filed under the name Cysteochila lineata. Its description in RNAcentral is "tRNA-Ile". The record is from RNAcentral. Lineage: Eukaryota; Metazoa; Arthropoda; Insecta; Hemiptera; Tingidae.